This 972-nucleotide non-coding RNA is filed under the name Zenaida macroura (mourning dove). Its description in RNAcentral is "12S ribosomal RNA". It matches the Rfam family "Bacterial small subunit ribosomal RNA". The record is from RNAcentral. Lineage: Eukaryota; Metazoa; Chordata; Aves; Columbiformes; Columbidae.
AAAGACUUAGUCCUAACCUUACGAUUAGUUCUUGCUAGACAUAUACAUGCAAGUAUCCGCGCCCCAGUGUAAAUGCCCUUGAUCACUACGCCGUAGGUAAAAGGAGCUGGCAUCAGGCACGCCCAUCGCAGCCCAAGACGCCUUGCUCAGCCACACCCUCACGGGUACUCAGCAGUAAUUAACAUUAGGCAAUAAGUGUAAACUUGACUUAGUCAUAGCAACCUCCAGGGUUGGUAAAUCUUGUGCCAGCCACCGCGGUCACACAAGAGACCCAAACCAAUCGUUUACGGCGUAAAGAGUGGACUCAUGCCUAUCACAACAUUUAAGGUCGAAACGUAACUGAGCUGUCAUAAGCUUAAGGUACGCCUAAAGCCUCCCUGAACAUGGCCUUAAUUGAUAUGAUCUAUUAAACUCCACGAAAGCCAGGACACAAACUGGGAUUAGAUACCCCACUAUGCCUGGCCCUAAAUCUAGAUGCUUAUGUUACUAAAGCAUCCGCCCGAGGACUACGAGCACAAACGCUUAAAACUCUAAGGACUUGGCGGUGCCCUAAACCCACCUAGAGGAGCCUGUUCUAUAAUCGAUAACCCACGAUGCACCCGACCACUUCUUGCCAAACACAGCCUACAUACCGCCGUCGCCAGCUCACCUCUCCUGAAAGUACAGCAGUGAGCACAAUAGCCCCAGCCCCGCUAGCAAGACAGGUCAAGGUAUAGCCUAUGGAGUGGAAGAAAUGGGCUACAUUUUCUAACCUAGAACACCCCACGGAAGGGGGCAUGAAACAGCCCCCAGAAGGCGGAUUUAGCAGUAAAGCGGGAUAACAAAGCCCUCUUUAAACUGGCCCUGAGGCACGUACAUACCGCCCGUCACCCUCCUCACAAGCUUUAAACUUAUAAUAAAUAAUACGCCAGCUCGCUAAAGAUGAGGUAAGUCGUAACAAGGUAAGUGUACCGGAAGGUGCACUUAGCACAC